CCUGUCUUUGCAGGGAGAUUGGACUAGAUGACCUUUGAAGGUCCCUUCCAACCCAAACUAUUCCAUGAUUCUGUGUCAUUAUUUUUGUUAGAGAUUCUGACAAAUUAAGAGAUCCUUGAAAUGGAAAACUGGUUAUCGAAUCACAAAUUAUAUUAGGCCCACUUUGGAAGAAGACACAGUGUAGCAUUUAAAACUGUUUUCUAUUAACUAAAUGAAAUAAUAAUGGUUUUAUUCUUCUGAAAUUCUGUAUAUGUGCGUGUACACAAACGCACCCACACACGUAUCUUGUAACACUAAAGACUUUACUGGAAGUGUUUUCAUUGCUCAGCAGUGGACAAAAUAGAGAAAAAUCCCAGCUAAAGUAAAAAAAAUAAUCAUGAUGAAUUCUUAAUUCUUUGGAGAACUUCCUUGCUGGAAGGGCUUUCAAAUAUUGAACAAGAUUUAUCACUGUGUUAUAGCCUGAACAGAGGACUUGAUGCCUGACCUUUGGAACCAGCACAGAGUGUUCCAUUUUCUGAUGGAUUGUGUUAAAGAUUAAAAGGUUUUGAAAGUGCCAUAUAUUCGUCUCACAUACUGUGUUCACAAUCACUUUAUUUGGUGGUGUUAGAGUGAUUGAGCUAAUUGAUGGGAUGUAAUUGUUAAUAUGAAAAAUAAUUCUGCACAGUCCUACACAUCCUUAGUUGCAGCAUUAACUUAUGACAUCAAUGAUGAGAGGAAGGAAAUGGUGGAUCCAGGAUUAUCAUUUUGUUAAGUCUGGAGUAAAUCAAAUUGAAAUAAUAAAGUAAUCAUUUCUAAUGGCUAGGAAGAAGAAAAAGAGGAACUAGUUCUCAAACUACAGGAGAACUGUGCAAACUUUAUUCUUACUAGAGCAACACAGAUUUUCAAAUCUUAGGGAUUCAUAGAAUUUGUAAUUUAGCCAGACUGGCAAAUUUAGUUUAUUGUUUGAAGAGAUCUACUCUAAACUUUCACCAUGAUGGGUGUGUCUUAUUUAAGAAAAAAAUAA
Long non-coding RNA from Neopsephotus bourkii (Bourke's parrot), 1003 nucleotides. RefSeq lists it as uncharacterized. The record is from RefSeq and is a predicted model, not a curated record. NCBI's taxonomy places the organism in Eukaryota, Metazoa, Chordata, Aves, Psittaciformes, Psittacidae. The transcript has 2 exons.